CAAGUCGAGCGAGAAAGGGGCUUCGGCCCCGAGUACAGCGGCGGACGGGUGAGAAAAUCGUAGGUAACCUGCCCUUCAGUGGAGGACAACGGUCCGAAAGGACCGCUAAUACUGCAUACGUUCCCCGGGACCCCGGUCCUGGGGAGGAAAGCCUCGCAAGGGGCGCUGGAGGAGGGGCCUGCGUCGCAUCAGCUAGUUGGUGGGGUAACGGCUCACCAAGGCGAAGACGCGUAGCUGGUCUGAGAGGAUGAUCAGCCACACUGGGACUGAGACACGGCCCAGACUCCUACGGGAGGCAGCAGUGGGGAAUAUUGGACAAUGGGCGCAAGCCUGAUCCAGCCACGCCGCGUGAGUGAUGAAGGCCUUCGGGUCGUAAAGCUCUGUGGGGAGGGACGAACGUCCCCGUGAAGAACGGGGGGUGACGGUACCUCCUUAGCAAGCACCGGCUAACUUCGUGCCAGCAGCCGCGGUAAUACGAAGGGUGCAAACGUUGCUCGGAAUCAUUGGGCGUAAAGCGCACGUAGGCGGCCUGUUAAGUCGGAUGUGAAAUCCCUCGGCUCAACCGAGGACGUGCAUCCGAAACUGGCGGGCUCGAGUACUGAAGAGGGUCGCGGAAUUCCCGGUGUAGAGGUGAAAUUCGUAGAUAUCGGGAG
RNAcentral lists this ribosomal RNA (653 nucleotides) under uncultured delta proteobacterium. RNAcentral's name for it is "bacterial SSU rRNA". It matches the Rfam family "Bacterial small subunit ribosomal RNA", at positions 58 to 703 of the family's 1533-position model. The record is from RNAcentral. Lineage: Bacteria; Deltaproteobacteria.